UUAACAUGUUGCAGAUGGUAAGAUAGACCAGCUUGGCCGUGCUUUUAUUGUUGUGCCAUUGUUGGUGUAUUUUGUGGGAUGGAUGGGGUGUUGUCUUAAAUUGCUGCAAGUUGUAUGCUUCACCACUUCCAAUUUGGGUGUAGUUUUUUAUUUCAAGGUCAAUGAUGUGCCAUUGUUGGUGUAUUUUGUGGGAUGGAUGGGGUGUUGUCUUAAAUUGCUGCAAGUUGUAUGCUUCACCACUUCCAAUUUGGGUGUAGUUUUUUAUUUCAAGGUCAAUGAUCUGAUUUGAUGUCGAACACUAUUGCCUCCACUGUUACCAGGUUUGCAAUCCUGAGUUGCUUGACCUAUGAACCACCUGUUUACAUUGCCUUUGAUGAAGUGUUUUUGGUUUUGAUCAUUGCAGGUCUACAGCAGGCAUGUGGAUCUGGCUUAUGGAGUGGUUUUGAUAGUUUUGCUUGAACUGAUGUGAAUAUGGUUGGUUGUUGUACAAGGCCGAGCUGCUUGUAAAUGGAUGAUAGCUGCUACAGGUACAUCUGACUGAAUUGUUGCUGUUACUAGCCGCUGAGUCUGCUUUGUUGAAGUGACCAAAUGGCUAAUUGCAGGUUAUGUUGUGGUCGGAAGCAUGGUAAGCCAUUAUGAUUUAGGUGUUUCACUGUAGGAUCACUUGGCUUGAUUGGGAUGCUUUAUGGUGAGCUGAAUUACCUGCUGCCAGUAAAAUGUCAACAUGAUUCCAAAGGAAAUGGACAUGUAUAAGCAUCCCAAUACUGGCCAAGAACAGAGCAGCAAACAAGUUGCGAAUUGGCUCAACUUGUUCAAGCGUAUGUUGACCAAGAUCC
This 836-nucleotide long non-coding RNA is filed under the name Lathyrus oleraceus (garden pea). Its description in RNAcentral is "Pisum sativum (pea) long non-coding RNA (PSAT_LNC032513)". Lineage: Eukaryota; Viridiplantae; Streptophyta; Magnoliopsida; Fabales; Fabaceae. The record is from RNAcentral.